CCAAACCGACUCAGGUGGACGGGGUGAAUAUCCCAAGGCGCGUGAGAGAACCCUGGUUAAGGAACUCUGCAAAUUGACACCGUAACUUCGGGAGAAGGUGUGCCGCUGGCGGUUAGUGACUUCGCGUCACGAAGCUGUCGGUGGUCGCAGUGAAAUGGCGGUUGUGACUGUUUACUAAAAACACAGGACUCUGCGAAGUCGUAAGACGACGUAUUGGGUCUGAUGCCUGCCCGGUGCUGGAAGGUUAAGGGGAUAUGUCAGCGCAAGCGAAGCAUUGAACCGAAGCCCCAGUAAACGGCGGCCGUAACAAUAACGGUCCUAAGGUAGCGAAAUUCCUUGUCGGGUAAGUUCCGACCUGCACGAAGGCAUAACAACAUCCGCACUGUCUCGACCAGGGACUCAGCGAAAUUACAUUGGGGGUGAAGAUGCCCUCUACCCGCGGAAAGACGGAAAGACCCCAUGAACCUUUACUGCAACUUGGCAGUGAUUUUCGGGUUGUUCUGCGUAGGAUAGGUGGGAGGCUUUGAAGCCGGGCUUCCGGGUUCGGCAGAGCCAACGUUGAAAUACCACCCUGAAUAGUCUGGAAAUCUAACCUGCGCCCAUGAUCUGGGCGAGGGACACUGCCUGGUGGGCAGUUUGACUGGGGCGGUCGCCUCCUAAAUUGUAACGGAGGCGUGCGACGGUUCCCUCAGGCUGAUUGGAAACCAGCCGUAGAGUGCAAACGCAUAAGGGAGCUUUACUGCGAGACUGACAAGUCGAACAGUUGCGAAAGCAGGUGUUAGUGAUCCGGUGGUACCACAUGGAAGGGCCAUCGCUCAUCGGAUAAAAGGUACUCUGGGGAUAACAGGCUGAUCGCGCCUGAGAGUUCACAUCGGCGGCGCGGUUUGGCACCUCGAUGUCGGCUCAUCGCAUCCUGGGGCUGGAGCAGGUCCCAAGGGUUUGGCUGUUCGCCAAUUAAAGCGGUACGCGAGCUGGGUUUAAAACGUCGUGAGACAGUUUGGUCCCUAUCUUCCGUGGGCGCAGGACACUUGAGAGGAGCUAUCCAUAGUACGAGAGGACCUGGAUGGACGAACCUCUGGUGCUCCGGUUGUCACGCCAGUGGCAUAGCCGGGUAGCCAUGUUCGGAACAGAUAACCGCUGAAGGCAUAUAAGCGGGAAGCUGGCCUCAAGACUAGGUGUCCCUGACGCAAGUCACUAAAGGCCCCUCGAAGGCUACGAGGUUGAUAGGCUCGGUGUGGAAGCGCUGCGAGGCGUGGAGCUAACGAGUACUAAUAGGCCGUGCGACUUGACCCC
This 1293-nucleotide ribosomal RNA is filed under the name metagenome. Its description in RNAcentral is "bacterial LSU rRNA". It matches the Rfam family "Bacterial large subunit ribosomal RNA", at positions 1649 to 2925 of the family's 2925-position model. The record is from RNAcentral.